RNAcentral lists this transfer RNA (77 nucleotides) under subsurface metagenome. RNAcentral describes it as "tRNA-Val". It matches the Rfam family "tRNA". Rfam says of the family: Transfer RNA (tRNA) molecules are approximately 80 nucleotides in length. Their secondary structure includes four short double-helical elements and three loops (D, anti-codon, and T loops). Further hydrogen bonds mediate the characteristic L-shaped molecular structure. tRNAs have two regions of fundamental functional importance: the anti-codon, which is responsible for specific mRNA codon recognition, and the 3' end, to which the tRNAs corresponding amino acid is attached (by aminoacyl-tRNA synthetases). tRNAs cope with the degeneracy of the genetic code in two manners: having more than one tRNA (with a specific anti-codon) for a particular amino acid; and 'wobble' base-pairing, i.e. permitting non-standard base-pairing at the 3rd anti-codon position. The record is from RNAcentral.
GGGCGGUUAGCUCAGUUGGUUAGAGCGCUGCGUUGACAUCGCAGAGGCCACUGGUUCAAGUCCAGUAUCGCCCACCA